RNAcentral lists this ribosomal RNA (450 nucleotides) under Spenceriella shakespeari. RNAcentral describes it as "partial 16S ribosomal RNA". It matches the Rfam family "Bacterial large subunit ribosomal RNA", at positions 1859 to 2597 of the family's 2925-position model. The record is from RNAcentral. Lineage: Eukaryota; Metazoa; Annelida; Clitellata; Crassiclitellata; Megascolecidae.
CUGCCCAGUGAUAUAUUUUCAACGGCCGCGGUAUCCUAACCGUGCAAAGGUAGCAUAAUAACUUGCCUACUAAUUGUAGGCUAGAAUGAACGGGAAAACGAAAUAAAAACUGUCUCAGUUAGUUAACUAAAAAUUAUUCUCUAUAUAAAGAAAAAUAGAUAAAUUCGAAGGACAAGAAGACCCUAUAGAGCUUUAUUUUAUAACUAAAAAUAAUAUUAAAAAAAUUCGGUUGGGGCGACCUGGGGAAUAUAUAACACCCCUAAAUUUAAAGAUAAAUUAAUCACCUUAUUGACCCUGCAAAGAUCAAAAGACCAAGCUACCUUAGGGAUAACAGACUAAUCCCAUUCAAGAGUUCAUAUCAACAAUGGGUUUUGGCACCUCGAUGUUGGCUUAGGGUAUCUAUAUAGCGCAAAAGUUAUAAAAGAUGGUUUGUUCAACCAAUAACUCCCU